CCUACGGGAGGCUGCAGUGAGGAAUAUUGGUCAAUGGGCGCAAGCCUGAACCAGCCAAGUCGCGUGAGGGCUGACGGUCCUAUGGAUUGUAAACCUCUUUUGUCGGGGAGCAAGGCCCGACACGUGUGGCGGGAAGGAGAGUACCCGAAGAAAAAGCAUCGGCUAACUCCGUGCCAGCAGCCGAGGUAAUACGGGGGAUGCGAGCGUUAUCCGGAUUUAUUGGGUUUAAAGGGUGCGUAGGCGGAAGGUUAAGUCAGCGGUAAAAUGUCGGUGCUCAACACCGGCCUGCCGUUGAAACUGGUCUUCUUGAGUGAGCGAGAAGUAUGCGGAAUGCGUGGUGUAGCGGUGAAAUGCAUAGAUAUCACGCAGAACUCCGAUUGCGAAGGCAGCAUACCGGCGCUCAACUGACGCUGAGGCACGAAAGCGUGGGGAUCGAACAGGAUUAGAUACCCCUGUAGUC
This 460-nucleotide ribosomal RNA is filed under the name uncultured bacterium. RNAcentral describes it as "partial 16S ribosomal RNA". It matches the Rfam family "Bacterial small subunit ribosomal RNA", at positions 338 to 795 of the family's 1533-position model. The record is from RNAcentral.